RNAcentral lists this long non-coding RNA (450 nucleotides) under Salmo salar (Atlantic salmon). RNAcentral describes it as "lncRNA (ENSSSAG00000098045.1)". Lineage: Eukaryota; Metazoa; Chordata; Actinopteri; Salmoniformes; Salmonidae. The record is from RNAcentral.
AGUGUUUGUUUGCUACAGCCUCGCGAUCUAUCCAGAUUAGCUACUCAGUGCUUCUACUUCUGCAUGGCUUGCUGUUUGGGGUUUUAUAGGCUGGGUUUCUGUAUAGAAACGUUAAUAUGCACUGUCCCUUUAAAAAUAAAACAUUUACUCAAACUCAAUAUGAGUAUUUCAAGUUAGGUUACUAGUAUUUCAAGUCAGGUUAAUAGUAUUUCAAGUCAGGUUAAUAGUAUUUCAAGUCAGGUUACUAGUAUUUCAAGUCAGGUUACUAGUAUAUCAAGUCAGGUUACUAGUAUUUCAAGUCAGGUUAAUAGUAUUUCAAGUCAGGUUAAUAGUAUUUCAAGUCAGGUUACUAGUAUUUCAAGUCAGGUUACUAGUAUAUCAAGUCAGGUUACUAGUAUUUCAAGUCAGGUUAAUAGUAUUUCAAGUCAGGUUAAUAGUAUUUCAAGUCAG